UGCAAGUCGAACGGUCUCUUCGGAGGCAGUGGCGGACGGGUGAGUAACGCGUGGGAACGUGCCCUUUGGUACGGAACAACUGAGGGAAACUUCAGCUAAUACCGUAUGUGCCCUUCGGGGGAAAGAUUUAUCGCCAUUGGAGCGGCCCGCGUUGGAUUAGCUAGUUGGUGGGGUAAUGGCCCACCAAGGCGACGAUCCAUAGCUGGUCUGAGAGGAUGAUCAGCCACACUGGGACUGAGACACGGCCCAGACUCCUACGGGAGGCAGCAGUAGGGAAUCUUGCGCAAUGGGCGAAAGCCUGACGCAGCCAUGCCGCGUGAAUGAUGAAGGUCUUAGGAUUGUAAAAUUCUUUCACCGGGGACGAUAAUGACGGUACCCGGAGAAGAAGCCCCGGCUA
RNAcentral lists this ribosomal RNA (397 nucleotides) under uncultured bacterium. RNAcentral's name for it is "bacterial SSU rRNA". It matches the Rfam family "Bacterial small subunit ribosomal RNA", at positions 56 to 499 of the family's 1533-position model. The record is from RNAcentral.